GAUGAACGCUAGCGGCAGGCUUAACACAUGCAAGUCGAGGGGUAACAGAGAGUGCUUGCACUUUGCUGACGACCGGCGCACGGGUGCGUAACGCGUAUACAAUCUACCUCUUACUGAGGGAUAGCCCAGAGAAAUUUGGAUUAAUACCUCAUAGUAUGUUAGAGUGGCAUCACUUUAAUAUUAAAGGUUACGGUAAGAGAUGAGUAUGCGUUCUAUUAGCUAGUAGGUAUGGUAACGGCAUACCUAGGCAACGAUAGAUAGGGGCCCUGAGAGGGGGAUCCCCCACACUGGUACUGAGACACGGACCAGACUCCUACGGGAGGCAGCAGUGAGGAAUAUUGGUCAAUGGGCGCAAGCCUGAACCAGCCAUGCCGCGUGCAGGAAGACUGCCCUAUGGGUUGUAAACUGCUUUUAUACAGGAAGAAACACUCCCUCGUGAGGGAGCUUGACGGUACUGUAAGAAUAAGGAUCGGCUAACUCCG
RNAcentral lists this ribosomal RNA (482 nucleotides) under uncultured Flavobacteriaceae bacterium. RNAcentral describes it as "bacterial SSU rRNA". It matches the Rfam family "Bacterial small subunit ribosomal RNA", at positions 28 to 505 of the family's 1533-position model. Lineage: Bacteria; Pseudomonadati; Bacteroidota; Flavobacteriia; Flavobacteriales; Flavobacteriaceae. The record is from RNAcentral.